Saccostrea echinata is the source of this 271-nucleotide long non-coding RNA. RefSeq lists it as uncharacterized. The record is from RefSeq and is a predicted model, not a curated record. The transcript is spliced from 4 exons. Lineage: Eukaryota; Metazoa; Mollusca; Bivalvia; Ostreida; Ostreidae.
UCGGCCAAGAAUUUUUAGGAUGCAGAAGCGCGGCAAUAAUCAUAUGCUUGCUUGGCCACGGGUCGAGACCCACAUACAGGGUUUAAUUUGGUAUGUGCACCAUAAAUGAGGACACAGAAAUAUGGAUGAAAAUUUAAAAGACAUCAUUAGAAGUUACCACAGAAGAGGUUUAUCUCACAAGGAAAUUCACUUUUUACUGAAAAUAAGACAUGGUCAAAACUAUAGUUUCCAAUAUCUGAAGAGAAAAGUAAUGCCAAGAUUAAAUUUAAAU